GACGAACGCUGGCGGCGUGCUUAACACAUGCAAGUCGAACGGAAAGGCCCUGCUUUUGUGGGGUGCUCGAGUGGCGAACGGGUGAGUAACACGUGAGUAACCUGCCCUUGACUUUGGGAUAACUUCAGGAAACUGGGGCUAAUACCGGAUAGGAGCUCCUGCUGCAUGGUGGGGGUUGGAAAGUUUCGGCGGUUGGGGAUGGACUCGCGGCUUAUCAGCUUGUUGGUGGGGUAGUGGCUUACCAAGGCUUUGACGGGUAGCCGGCCUGAGAGGGUGACCGGCCACAUUGGGACUGAGAGACGGCCCAGACUCGUACGGGAGGCAGAAGGGGGGAAUAUUGCACAAUGGGCGGAAGCCUGAUGCAGCAACGCCGCGUGCGGGAUGACGGCCUUCGGGUUGUAAACCGCUUUCGCCUGUGACGAAGCGUGAGUGACGGUAAUGGGUAAAGAAGCACCGGCUAACUACGUG
This 468-nucleotide ribosomal RNA is filed under the name uncultured bacterium. RNAcentral describes it as "partial 16S ribosomal RNA". It matches the Rfam family "Bacterial small subunit ribosomal RNA", at positions 28 to 507 of the family's 1533-position model. The record is from RNAcentral.